Molecule: ribosomal RNA, 1217 nt
Filed under: Cryphonectria citrina
Lineage: Eukaryota; Fungi; Ascomycota; Sordariomycetes; Diaporthales; Cryphonectriaceae
Description: eukaryotic LSU rRNA
Rfam family: Eukaryotic large subunit ribosomal RNA
Source: RNAcentral
CUUCGGCCCGAGUUGUAAUUUGCAGAGGAUGUUUCUGGCGCGGUGCCUUCCGAGUUCCCUGGAACGGGACGCCACAGAGGGUGAGAGCCCCGUAUGGUUGGACACCAAGCCUGUGUGAAACUCCUUCGACGAGUCGAGUAGUUUGGGAAUGCUGCUCAAAAUGGGAGGUAAAUCUCUUCUAAAGCUAAAUACCGGCCAGAGACCGAUAGCGCACAAGUAGAGUGAUCGAAAGAUGAAAAGCACCUUGAAAAGGGGGUUAAACAGUACGUGAAAUUGUUGAAAGGGAAGCGCUUGUGACCAGACUUGCGCCGGGCGGUUCAUCCGGGGUUCUCCCCGGUGCACUCCGCCCGGCUCAGGCCAGCAUCGGUUCUCGUUGGGGGAUAAGAACGGCAGGAACGUGGCCCUCCUUCGGGUGGGUGUUAUAGCCUGCCGUACGAUACCCUGACGGGGACCGAGGUUCGCGCUCCGCAAGGAUGCUGGCGUAAUGGUCAUCAGCGACCCGUCUUGAAACACGGACCAAGGAGUCGUCCAUUAGAGCGAGCGUUUGGGUGUCAAACCCGCACGCGUAAUGAAAGUGAAAUUAGGUGAGAGCUUCGGCGCAUCAUCGACCGAUCCUGAUGUUCUCGGAUGGAUUUGAGUAAGAGUUUUAACGGACGGACCCGAAAGACAGUGAACUAUGCUUGUAUAGGGUGAAGCCAGAGGAAACUCUGGUGGAGGCUCGCAGCGGUUCUGACGUGCAAAUCGAUCGUCAAAUAUGAGCAUGGGGGCGAAAGACUAAUCGAACUGUCUAGUAGCUGGUUACCGCCGAAGUUUCCCUCAGGAUAGCAGUGUUGACCUUCAGUUUUAUGAGGUAAAGCGAAUGAUUAGGGACUCGGGGGCGCUUUUUAGCCUUCAUCCAUUCUCAAACUUUAAAUAUGUAAGAAGCCCUUGUUACUUAGUUGAACGUGGGCAUUCGAAUGUAUCAACACUAGUGGGCCAUUUUUGGUAAGCAGAACUGGCGAUGCGGGAUGAACCGAACGCGGGGUUAAGGCGCCAGAGUGUACGCUCAUCAGACACCACAAAAGGCGUUAGUACAUCUUGACAGCAGGACGGUGGCCAUGGAAGUCGGAAUCCGCUAAGGACUGUGUAACAACUCACCUGCCGAAUGUACUAGCCCUGAAAAUGGAUGGCGCUCAAGCGUACCGCCCAUACCCCGCCCUCAGGGUAGAAACGAUGCC